This 1203-nucleotide long non-coding RNA is filed under the name Sorghum bicolor (sorghum). RNAcentral describes it as "long non-coding RNA (SBIC_LNC004007)". The record is from RNAcentral. Lineage: Eukaryota; Viridiplantae; Streptophyta; Magnoliopsida; Poales; Poaceae.
GCGCCAUGGCAUGCGUGAUGCCACCUCUCAUCGAUCUCCUCUCUCUCUCUCUCGUUAGUACCACGUUCUCAGGAAAGUGUUGUUCCGAAAAGUUAACCUGAGAAGUGUCAAAACAAAACUUAGCCAAAUGGCCCGUCUUGUCCGUUUGGCUAAUAAGUUAUGGCAUAACUGUGAGAGAAAAACGCUGUUGAAUGACUGCCAUAUUUGACUGAUAAGUACUCUGAAAAGCUUGUCUUUUUCGUCUUUUUUUUCGUGUCUUCUUAUUUUAUUUUUUGUGUGUCUUCUCUACAGUUUUCUUGAUACCAACUGGUUUAUCAUUAAAGACAUUAGUGGUAUAAACUGUGAUUUCAUAAGGUUUCUCUUUUAGAAUGUUGUGCACAAGAAGUACUUAUGUGUAUAUAUAUAGUUUAUACACAUUUAUAAAAAUGGGAAGCUGUGCAGUUGAAAAUUUAUAUAAAAAAACUUAUCCCAUGAUACCAUGCUUCUACUGGCGCUACAAUCUCAGGAGACAUUAAUCAUUACAACUAAUAGAAAUUAGUUAUUCUCGUCCUCUCUUUUUUUGUUCAUUUUGUCAUAUACUAUUUUUUGUUCAUUUUAUAAUAUAAUAUAUGUACAUGGAUACUCAUAAACUUAUCAACUAAUAUUCAUAGUUUAUGUCUCUCUACAUGACACCUUCAUGUAUCUUAAAUAAUAAUCAUUAAGUUUAAACCUUACCUUAUUACGUUAUGACUCUUGUUUGCAGUCCACAUCUCUUGACGUCAAAAAUCUAGAUUUUGAAUUUUUGAAGCCAGAACUUAUAAGUUGCUGCAAAUUUCUUAUCCACAAGUUAAAUUCAAACUCUUGGGCUUAGUUUACCCUUUAUGUUAUAUUACUUUUGCAUUUCAUUAGUAUUAAGGAUUUUAGGCUAUUGUGCCCUUGAUUACUAUAAAGUGCGGAAUCUAGAAGUACAUAUAGGCGUAAUUUAGGUUAUUUAAACAUUUUUAUUUAGGAACCAUUUGUUUAGGUGUAAAUUUAAGGGAUAUUUUAGUUUAUUUUUGAAAAUAGCAAAAGUGGUUAUUAUUUAGAUUAUUUCUCAUAUUAGCAUGGUGGGUAAUUUAAAGUGCAAAUUUAGGGGGUUACUAAAUAGGAUGUUUCACAAUGGGUAAUUCUGAUACAGAUUUAGAGGUUACUUUUUAUUUUGUUCUUAUAAUGAUAGAUAUGGAU